This 86-nucleotide transfer RNA is filed under the name Anaerolineales bacterium HSG6. RNAcentral describes it as "tRNA-Ser". It matches the Rfam family "tRNA". Rfam says of the family: Transfer RNA (tRNA) molecules are approximately 80 nucleotides in length. Their secondary structure includes four short double-helical elements and three loops (D, anti-codon, and T loops). Further hydrogen bonds mediate the characteristic L-shaped molecular structure. tRNAs have two regions of fundamental functional importance: the anti-codon, which is responsible for specific mRNA codon recognition, and the 3' end, to which the tRNAs corresponding amino acid is attached (by aminoacyl-tRNA synthetases). tRNAs cope with the degeneracy of the genetic code in two manners: having more than one tRNA (with a specific anti-codon) for a particular amino acid; and 'wobble' base-pairing, i.e. permitting non-standard base-pairing at the 3rd anti-codon position. Lineage: Bacteria; Bacillati; Chloroflexota; Anaerolineae; Anaerolineales. RNAcentral also lists the same sequence under 2 other names. The record is from RNAcentral.
GGGGAGGUGUCCGAGUUGGCUUAAGGAGCACGAUUGGAAAUCGUGUGGGUGUCAAAGCCUCGAGGGUUCGAAUCCCUCUCUCCCCG